CACCGCCCGUCACACCAUGGAAGCCAGCUGUACCGGAAGCCGGUGCACCAACCCGCAAGGGAGGUAGCCGCCCAUGGUAUGACUGGUGACUGGGGUG
RNAcentral lists this ribosomal RNA (97 nucleotides) under uncultured bacterium. RNAcentral's name for it is "partial 16S ribosomal RNA". It matches the Rfam family "Bacterial small subunit ribosomal RNA", at positions 1388 to 1482 of the family's 1533-position model. The record is from RNAcentral.